Molecule: ribosomal RNA, 252 nt
Filed under: uncultured bacterium
Lineage: Bacteria
Description: partial 16S ribosomal RNA
Rfam family: Bacterial small subunit ribosomal RNA
Source: RNAcentral
UACGGAGGAUGCGAGCGUUAUCCGGAUUUAUUGGGUUAAAAGGGUGCAUAGGCGGAUCGUUAAGUCAGUGGUCAAAUUGAGGGGCUCAACCCCUUCCCGCCAUUGAAACUGGCGAUCUUGAGUGGAAGAGAAGUAUGCGGAAUGCGUGGUGUAGCGGUGAAAUGCAUAGAUAUCACGCAGAACCCCGAUUGCGAAGGCAGCAUGCCGGCUUCCUACUGACGCUGAAGCACGAAAGCGUGGGGAUCGAACAGG